Loxodonta africana (African savanna elephant) is the source of this 2860-nucleotide RNA transcript. It is a transcript of the gene named L-lactate dehydrogenase C chain, with no coding region annotated. The record is from RefSeq and is a predicted model, not a curated record. Lineage: Eukaryota; Metazoa; Chordata; Mammalia; Proboscidea; Elephantidae. The transcript is spliced from 2 exons.
UGUCAAGGAACAGCUUAUAGAGAAUCUAAUUGCGGAAGAUAAGAUCCCUCAGCGUAAGGUCACCAUAGUUGGAAUAGGUGCCGUAGGCAUGGCUUGCGCUAUUAGUAUCUUAUUGAAGGUAAGUGACAAGCCCAUCCUGUAGCUAAAAAUCAAAUAAGCACUUUUACGUCUUGUAUAUGUUGAUGGGUUCAGGAUUGCGGGGUUAAUCCCUUGAUAUGACAAAUAUGUUUCUUAUCAUCAGAUUUUGACCUAAUUUAAGAACAUUUAGAAUCUACUCUGUCAGGGAUUGCUAGAAUAUUUAGCUUUAUUCAUAGAAGCACAUUUAAAAAAUUACUUUCAUAAUGUUAUAAUCUGGCCUGUGGGAAUGUACCUUUUUGUCCUUGGAAAGUAGAGUGAAAAUCAUAUUUCUCAAUGGUUUAUACUUAAGAUUUUUUAAUUGUAAAAGUAGUACAUGCUCAUUGUAAAACAAAGUAGCAAAUUUGAUCAAACAGCAAUGGGAGUUCUUUUAUUUUCUCAUUUCUGUUUCCAGAGGUAGACCUUGUUAACAAUUUGGUGUAUGUCCUUCCAGAUAUUUACAUCUGUAAGACAUUUAACAAAAUGUAUUAAACAAGAAUAAAGGGGGAAAGGGGAUUAUAAGCCCACAAAUAAAAGAAACCAGAAGAGGAGACAACAGUUUGAGAGAUGUCACUAUAAUUUUGAAAGAUGGAGAUCAGAUUCCCAAGUGGUAAUUGACUUAACAGAGCCAAUAACACUGAAACUUAAGUACUCACAAAAGAGAAAUCCAAAAAGAAGCAAGCAGAUUUCAGAGGCAGAACCCAAAAAAGGAUCAGGUACCAGGUACUUUUGAAGGUUAGGGUAAGAGGGAGUUAAAAGCAGGAGCGUAUCUCCUUCUAAAGACUCCUUAUUUAGGCUGUUGACUCUUACUCUUGCAAAAAGAGGUCAUUUAGUUUAGGAAGAAUUGAACCAGAGAGCCUCUAGUGAUAGGAACAUCAAGCAGAGUUGAAGGGUGUGUGUGUGUGUGUGUUUGAAGUGGGCGGAAGUACCAGAUGCUUCAGAAGGUAGAAGCGAGGGAUGGGGCAGAAAAUAGGAGGAUUGGUUGAAAGUUUGUGUAAGGAAAACCACCGGGUCCUCUUUUGCACCCUUAUCAACUAGGCAACCUCCUCUGUCACAUCCCAGCAGGUGGGGGGAAGGAACUUAUUCUUUGGAGAAAUUGAACCAGAUCAACUCUGAACUCAAGAGCACCCAGGUUCGUAGAGGACAGGCAUCUUAUUAAAAGCAGUAGGAUUAAGUGAAAGUCUAUGUGUUGAACAGUGAUGCACCAACCCUGUUACCCCUCAUUGGGUUAUUAGAAGGCAGACUUUCAGAAUAAGAUGGAAUAUAGUAGAGCAAAGAAAUGAAAUUAGAAGAUCAAUCAGGAGGUCCAACAACUUAUUAAUUGAUGUUUCAGCAAGAAAUGAGAGGGAAGACAAUUAUUCAAGAAAUAAAGCAAAAAUUCUAAAACUGAAGGACAUGAGUUCGCAAAUAUAAAGGAGUCACUGAUUGCUGAGCACAGUGAAUCAAAAAAGGCCUACUCUAAGUCAUGCCACAUCAGCAAAUGAAGGUCCCGAAAGCUUUACUCCAUCCACGUCAUUAAGGUCGACUCUACUUUGAGGAGGCAGCUCUUCCCCAGUCCUCUUUUGAGUGCCUUCCAACCUGGGGAACUCAUCUUUUAGCACUAUAUCAGACAAUGUUCUGCUGCUAUUCAUAAGGUUUUCACUGGCUAAUGCUUUUCAGCAGUAGACUGCCGGGUCCUUCUUCCUAGCCUGUCAUAGUCUGGAAGCUCAGCUGAAACCUGUCCUCCAUGGGUGACCCUGCUGGCAUCUGAAUACUGGUGGCAUAGCUUCCAGCAUCACAGCAACACGGAAGCCCCCACAGUACGACAAACUGACAGACAACACGUGACAUGUUGUCAGGAGGGAUCAGUCUCUGGAGAAGGAUAUCAUGCUUGGCAAAGUACAGGGUCAGCGGAAAAGAGGAAAACCCUUAACGAGGUGGAUUGACACAGUGGCCGCAACAAUGGGCUCAAGCAUAACAACGAUUGUAAGGAUGGCGCAGGACCAGGCAGUGUUUCGUCCUGUUGUGCAUAGGGUUGCUAUGAGUUGGAACUGACUCUAGGGCACCUAACAACAACAACAACAAUAGGAUAAAUGGAAACUGAUGAAGGACAUUAAAAUAUGCAUGCUCAUAUUGUUCGUUGCCUUGAAGGAACUUGUGGGCUGUAUUGGGAACCAUGUAUCUGCAUACCUGAUUGACAGGUCACUUUAAAUGGUUUAUAAGGUCAAGUCAAGCUUUUAGCAGUUGGGUAGCAAUACAGCCUAAUUCCUUGUCUGUACAGAGCAAUGUGGCCACAACAGUUUUCCCUAGAUCUUAAUUCUCUUGUUCUGUACCUUACUAUGGUUAAUCUGGCACUCCCUGGAGAGAAGAUCCUUGAACACUCAUAAUUAUUUUUACAAGAUUUCUGGAAAACUAAACAAGCCCAGGCUCUCUGUUUGGAAUUCUAUUUGAGAAGUGACAAAGAUAUAGCUAACUUUCCAAAAACAAACAAAGGCUUUUAGGGAUUAUCUGAACUUUGUCUUCCACAGACAUGGUAAAUGGAUUUGGGAAGACCUUGAUAAGAGAAUUGUAACCUGUUGAAAAGGGAGAUAAAUCAAAUUGGGAAUAUAAUUUAAAAGCAGGCUGUGUUGGUUAUUAAAUGAUUGUUACUGAACUCCAAAUCCAGCUAUCUAUGCUCUGUUUUGUGAUCCUGGCACUGGGUCUCUUCAUAGAAUGUUUCUCUUUUUCCAUUAAGCAUUUCGUUAGGUUCUGCCGAUGGGGCGGGGGA